This is a long non-coding RNA of Capsicum annuum, 2279 nucleotides long. RefSeq lists it as uncharacterized. The transcript is spliced from 2 exons. The record is from RefSeq and is a predicted model, not a curated record. NCBI's taxonomy places the organism in Eukaryota, Viridiplantae, Streptophyta, Magnoliopsida, Solanales, Solanaceae.
UGAAGUUUUUCUGGAAACUAGUGUUAGUUUGGUAGUGGAUUUAUCACUAUGUUCAUUUAUAACAGUGAGAGUGAUUGAUACUAUCUAAACAUGCUCUCAACUCUAAGCUCUUGAAAUUGAAGGACAAAGUAAAGGUCACUCCUUUUAUUAUUUUUUUUUCAUGCUAAUUCACGUAGUUUUUAAGUAAUUUAUCUGCUGAUAAUACUGUGUUUUUGUGUAAUUGAAUAGAAGUGAAGUGUUCUAAAUUACAAUGCAAUUGGAAACAUAUCUCCUUUGGAGCAUCAUUUAUAGAUGUUUAAGCUGAGGGUCUAUCUCUACGAGUAGGGGUAAGGUUUGCAUAAACGUCACCCUCCCAAGACCCCAAUUGUGGGAUUACGCUGGGUAUGUUGUAGUAGUAGUACUUUAUCUGCAGAUAUUACUGUGUUUUUGUGUAAUUUAAGUGCUAGAAAGUACAAUGCAAUUGGAAAGAUAUCUCCUUUUUUGUAUUUACUUAGUUAUAAGUUUUUUCCUGGAGCCUAGUGGUGGAGGAUUAAUGGUUAUUCAUUGAUAGAUGUUUAAGUUGAGGGUCUCUAUCCGAAACGCCCCCUCUAUCUCUGUGAGAUAGGGGUAAGGUUUGCGUACACUCUAUCCCCAGACCCUAAUUGUGGAAUUACAUGGGGUAUAUUGUUGUUGUUGUAAUACUAGUGCUUUAUAUGCAGAUAUUAGUAUGUUUUUGUGUAAUUGAACAGAAUUGAAGUGUUCUAAACUACAAUUUAAUUGGAAAGAUAUCUUUUUUUUUUUUUGUAUUUACUCGAGUUAGAAGUUUUUGCGGAGCCUAGUGGUAGAGGAUUAAUGGCUAUAUUCAUUUAUAGAUAUUUAAGUUGAAGGUUUCUAUCGGAAACAAUCUCUCUAUCUCUACGAGGUAGGGGUAAGGUUUGCGUACAGUCUUGACUCUAACCUUCCCAGACCCACUUGUGGGAUUACAUUGGGUAUGUUGUUGUUUUAGUAGCUGUACUAGUAGUAGUAAUUUAUCUGCAGAUAUUACUGUGUUUUUGUGUAAUUGAACAUAAUUGAAGUGUUCUAAAAUACAAUCAAUUGGAAAAAUAUCUCCUUUCUUAGAGGAUCAAUGGCUAUGUUCAUUUAUAGCUGUUAGAGUGAUUGGUACUAGUGUACAGUAGUGUUAUUUAGGGAUGGAAAGGCUAAUUAUUAAGUUCUUAAUUUGUUUUGGAUGUAAAAUUCAAUUUUGGAAUUAUAUGAGAUUAUUUUUUUUUUGGUCCUUGUUGUUGGGAAUGGUUAGUUUGCUACUAGAUUAUGUCUAUUUUAGAACUAGUACACAGUGCCAAUUCACAUCCUUUUAGUACUUUAUCUGCAGAUAUUAGUGUGUUUUUGUGUACUUGAACAAAAUUUGAAGUGUUCUAAAAUACAAUGCAACUGUAAAGGUAUCUCCUUUUUGAUUUUGCUCGAGUUUGAAGUUUUUCUGGAAACUAGUGGUAGUCUGUUGGAGGAUUAAUGACUAUGUUCAUUUAUAACAGUGACAGUGAUUGAUACUGUCGUACAAUAGUGUUAUUGACAGAUGGAAACGUUAAGUACUUUAUCUUCAGAUAUUAGUGUGUUUUUGCAUAAGUGAAGUGUUCAAGAAUACAAUGCAAUUGGAAAGAUAUCUCCUUUUUGAUUUUGCUCGAGUUCAAUUUUUGUUUCUUGAAACUAGUGGUAGUCUGGUAGAGGAUUAAUGACUAUGUUCAUUUAUAACAGCGAGAGUGAUUGGCACUAGCAUACAUUAGAAUUAUUGACAGAUGAAAAAUGUUAAGUAAUUUAUCUGCAGAUGUUAGUGUGUUUUUGUAUAAUUGCAGGUUUUCAAGUACAAGGUUUUGAAGAUUGAGAAAGUGAAUUAUACUGUGGGGAUGUACAAUACAUAUUGGAUGACUGUCAGAGUAUUAAAUCUGACUCUUGGCCAUAGUUGGUUUGCCAAGCUGCGAGUUUUGUUUUGGCCUGCAGUCAGAGGUUUGUUUCACGGAAGGAAAGGAACCAUAGUUAUUUAAAGUGUUCUACUCCAAGCUGCGAGUUUUAUUUUGGCGUGCUGCUAGAGAGGCCUGUCAUGGGAAGAAACGAACCAUAUCUAUUCAAAUUUCUUGGUUGGGAUUCUAUCUUUUGUAACUUUAAGUGCUUUAGUUUGACCUCUCUAUUAGUUUAAGGUAUCUUAUCCCAUAGUACUAUCACCUGGAUUUUAGUUUUGUAAAAAUUUAGGCACUUUCAGGACACUGAUCCAUAUAGCUGCUUCUAAAAUGUCAUCUUCACCUUGA